Non-coding RNA from Lactuca sativa (garden lettuce), 1205 nucleotides. NCBI's taxonomy places the organism in Eukaryota, Viridiplantae, Streptophyta, Magnoliopsida, Asterales, Asteraceae. The record is from RefSeq and is a predicted model, not a curated record.
UUUUCUUUUUCUGUUAUCCCCUUUACACGUGCCGUCAUUAUACCAUCUUCGUUUUCCUUUUCCAUGUUGGAUGAGUUGAUACGUGUCCAAAACACGUGUUAUAUUCCUAUGUUUUUCCACUGACUAUCACCGCUUUUAUUCUUUCUCCAAACCUCUCCCUGUAUCCCUUCUAUAAACUCCCAUUCCUUUUCACAAACAAAUGUCUUCUCUCCCACUUGUCUUCUUCUUUAUUAAAUCCAAUGUCGCCUUCAUCUUUAGCUGUCACCCGGAAAACCACAAGUUAGAGGUUAGGGCUCGACGGACUACUUUUGUAAGGAAAGAUUUCUAAGAACCGGGGCAUAGUUAGUUGGAAGAGAAGAAAGGCAGCGAGACUGUUGCCACCUGCAACAACGGUGGUGUCUGCUGGAUAAGGAAGUGAUAUCGGUGGCUUCAAUACUUCAAGAAAACAUCUAUAAACUUUCUACUUGGAGAUAGAGAUCAUGGAACCCUCAAUUGAUCAACUUCAGGUCCGUUUUACACCGUCGAUUUUUGCCCCCUUCCAGCUUUAUCAUUUUCUCAGUAGGUCACAUCCCAGGAUUCGUAGAAAAAAAAAGGAAUCGAUUGUCAGCGGUUUUGUUUUUUAAGGAUUCCUGAAAGCAGAAUAUCCUAUUUCUUUAUCAAACUCGGUAGGAUGAUGAAUUCAACCUCUAUUUAGGUAUAUAUAUACUUAUGUUCUUGUGUUCCGUUUUCUGUAUUAUUUUUCAUUGGAUGUUGUCUUCGGAAUCCUUUAGAAUAUUUCCGAACAGAAUAGAUAUUGGUAUAUUUUUUAUUGGAAAAAGAAAAUGGAUGUGGGUGUCCUGGAUUGUUUCAAGAAAUCAAAUCAAAGGUUUGUUAUCAACUGUUGACUGUUGUCAAUGCCCACAUUCUGGUCAACAGAGGGUGUUUACUUUGCUGCUGCACAUACGUUUGCUUCCACUGGAUUGGUUGUUGUUUCAGGGGUUCUGGCUAUCAAAAGUUGGAGCAGAAUUUAGGUGGAGGUAUGCUUUUUUUUUUAGUGAGGCGAUUUUAAUGUUCCUUUUGAGGUACAAUGCCUUAAUUGUAAAAUAAGUAAACUUACAAUUCUGAUUUUGUAAUGUUUUUCUAUAUAUGGACAAAUUACGUAAACUUUUUUCUACAAUAUGGACCAUUUCUAUAAUGUUUUUAUACUAUGGAGAACGACUUGGUAA